AUCUAGAACACACAAGUCACAAAAAGAUAAGGACUAUUGGUUACUAUGAGAGACUUCAGAUCGUCCAUAACACACAAGUUUGUAUCUACAUGCACAAAGUGCAAGCUCCAAAACACUCGAAACACCAAAUGGUCUACAAGACAAUAAGGUCCAUGAUUACAGGUUGGUUGGUCCAUAAACGCUAGAGAGUCAUCCUGUCCAUGUGCAUGAAUAGGUUGAGUACCUGAAAACAUUUUGCACAAAUUUGUCAAGAAAGUGGAACCAGAUCAAGUUGUUAAAAUCUCAUAUGGGUAUUAAAAAUAUUCGAUCAAAAGAUUAUCAUGAUAUCAUAGUUAACAAUAUAGUUUCUAUAAAAGUUAUAAUCAUCUCACAUGCUAUUAUAUAGAACUAUGUUCCAGUGCUUGUAAUUUUAUCAACAAUGAAUGCAUUGAGCAUCUUAAACAAAGAUUGUCAUGAUAUCAUAGUUAACAACAUCGUUUCUAUGUGGUUACUAGUCGAUUGCCCGUGCGUUGCCACGGAACAUAAAAAAUGAUUGAUGUGUGUGCUCAUUAGUCAAGUCCAACAUAGACGGAAUUCAUGUUUAUAUGGUGGAAACCACUCGUGUGUUGUCCUUCCGUGCCCUCCCUCUCUCAUAAUCACUAUGCACACAUGAUAUGUACUUUGUAAUUUUUGAAUGCAUGUGUCGCAUAUGAUUUAAAGUUGUGUUGCGACAAAUAUUACCUUGGGUUUCCUUCCUUCAUACAAUGAUCACCACACACCCCUUAUGU
Molecule: long non-coding RNA, 767 nt
Filed under: Hordeum vulgare
Lineage: Eukaryota; Viridiplantae; Streptophyta; Magnoliopsida; Poales; Poaceae
Description: long non-coding RNA (HVUL_LNC009396)
Source: RNAcentral